This 253-nucleotide ribosomal RNA is filed under the name uncultured bacterium. RNAcentral's name for it is "partial 16S ribosomal RNA". It matches the Rfam family "Bacterial small subunit ribosomal RNA", at positions 524 to 776 of the family's 1533-position model. The record is from RNAcentral.
UACGGGGGGGGCAAGCGUUGUUCGGAAUUACUGGGCGUAAAGGGCUCGUAGGCGGCCAACUAAGUCGGACGUGAAAUCCCUCGGCUUAACUGGGGAACUGCGUCCGAUACUGGAUGGCUUGAGUUUGGGAGAGGGAUGCGGAAUUCCAGGUGUAGCGGUGAAAUGCGUAGAUAUCUGGAGGAACACCGGUGGCGAAGGCGGCAUCCUGGACCAACACUGACACUGAGGAGCGAAAGCCAGGGGAGCAAACGGG